UAGGGAAUCUUCGGCAAUGGGGGGAACCCUGACCGAGCAACGCCGCGUGAGUGAAGAAGGUUUUCGGAUCGUAAAGCUCUGUUGUUAAGGAAGAACGAGUGUGAGAAUGGAAAGUUCAUACUGUGACGGUACUUAACCAGAAAGGGACGGCUAACUACGUGCCAGCAGCCGCGGUAAUACGUAGGUCCCGAGCGUUGUCCGGAUUUAUUGGGCGUAAAGCGAGCGCAGGCGGUUAGAUAAGUCUGAAGUUAAAGGCAGUGGCUCAACCAUUGUAGGCUUUGGAAACUGUUUAACUUGAGUGCAGAAGGGGAGAGUGGAAUUCCAUGUGUAGCGGUGAAAUGCGUAGAUAUAUGGAGGAACACCGGUGGCGAAAGCGGCUCUCUGGUCUGUAACUGACGCUGAGGCUCGAAAGCGUGGGGAGCAAACAGGAUUAGAUACCCUGGUAGUCCACGCCGUAAACGAUGAGUGCUAAGUGUUGGUCUCAUAAGAGAUCAGUGCUGCAGCUAACGCAUUAAGCACUCCGCCUGGGGAGUACGACCGCAAGGUUG
This 548-nucleotide ribosomal RNA is filed under the name uncultured bacterium. RNAcentral's name for it is "bacterial SSU rRNA". It matches the Rfam family "Bacterial small subunit ribosomal RNA", at positions 355 to 896 of the family's 1533-position model. The record is from RNAcentral.